AGUGAACGCUGGCGGUAGGCCUAACACAUGCAAGUCGAACGGCAGCACAGUAAGAGCUUGCUCUUACGGGUGGCGAGUGGCGGACGGGUGAGGAAUACAUCGGAAUCUUCUUUUUCGUGGGGGCUAACGUAGGGAAACUUACGCUAAUACCGCAUACUACUUACGGGUGAAAGCAGGGGAUCUUCGGACCUUGCGCGAUUGAAUGAGCCGAUGUCGGAUUAGCUAGUUGGCGGGGUAAAGGCCCACCAAGGCGACGAUCCGUAGCUGGUGGGAGAGGAUGAUCAGCCACACUGGAACGGAGACAGGGUCCCGACUCCUACGGGAGGGAGCAGAGGGGAAUAUUGGACAAUGGGCGCAAGCCUGAUCCAGCCAUACCGCGUGGGUGAAGAAGGCCUUCGGGUUGUAAAGCCCUUUUGUUGGGAAAGAAAAGCAGCAGGUUAAUACGACGCUGUUCUGACGGUACCCAAAGAAUAAGCACCGGCUAACUUCGUG
This 492-nucleotide ribosomal RNA is filed under the name uncultured bacterium. Its description in RNAcentral is "partial 16S ribosomal RNA". It matches the Rfam family "Bacterial small subunit ribosomal RNA", at positions 29 to 507 of the family's 1533-position model. The record is from RNAcentral.